GACGAACGCUGGCGGCGUGCUUAACACAUGCAAGUCGAACGGAAAGGCCCUGCUUUUGUGGGGUGCUCGAGUGGCGAACGGGUGAGUAACACGUGAGUAACCUGCCCUUGACUUUGGGAUAACUUCAGGAAACUGGGGCUAAUACCGGAUAGGAGCUCCUGCUGCAUGGUGGGGGUUGGAAAGUUUCGGCGGUUGGGGAUGGACUCGCGGCUUAUCAGCUUGUUGGUGGGGUAGUGGCUUACCAAGGCUUUGACGGGUAGCCGGCCUGAGAGGGUGACCGGCCACAUUGGGACUGAGAUACGGCCCAGACUCCUACGGGAGGCAGCAGUGGGGAAUAUUGCACAAUGGGCGGAAGCCUGAUGCAGCAACGCCGCGUGCGGGAUGACGGCCUUCGGGUUGUAAACCGCUUUCGCCUGUGACGAAGCGUGAGUGACGGUAAUGGGUAAAGAAGCACCGGCUAACUACGUGCCAGCAGCCGCGGUGAUACGUAGGGUGCGAGCGUUGUCCGGAUUUAUUGGGCGUAAAGGGCUCGUAGGUGGUUGAUCGCGUCGGAAGUGUAAUCUUGGGGCUUAACCCUGAGCGUGCUUUCGAUACGGGUUGACUUGAGGAAGGUAGGGGAGAAUGGAAUUCCUGGUGGAGCGGUGGAAUGCGCAGAUAUCAGGAGGAACACCAGUGGCGAAGGCGGUUCUCUGGGCCUUUCCUGACGUUGAGGAGCGAAAGCGUGGGGAGCGAACAGGCUUAGAUACCCUGGUAGUCCACGCUGUAAACGGUGGGUACUAGGUGUGGGGUCCAUUCCACGGGUUCCGUGCCGUAGCUAACGCUUUAAGUACCCCGCCUGGGGAGUACGGCCGCAAGGCUAAAACUCAAAGGAAUUGACGGGGCCCCGCACAAGCGGCGGAGCAUGCGGAUUAAUUCGAUGCAACGCGUAGAACCUUACCUGGGUUUGACAUGGAUCGGGAGUGCUCAGAGAUGGGUGUGCCUCUUUUGGGGUCGGUUCACAGGUGGUGCAUGGCUGUCGUCAGCUCGUGUCGUGAGAUGUUGGGUUAAGUCCCGCAACGAGCGCAACCCCUGUUCACUGUUGCCAGCACGUUAUGGUGGGGACUCAGUGGAGACCGCCGGGGUCAACUCGGAGGAAGGUGGGGAUGACGUCAAGUCAUCAUGCCCCUUAUGUCCAGGGCUUCACGCAUGCUACAAUGGCUGGUACAGAGAGUGGCGAGCCUGUGAGGGUGAGCGAAUCUCGGAAAGCCGGUCUCAGUUCGGAUUGGGGUCUGCAACUCGACCUCAUGAAGUCGGAGUCGCUAGUAAUCGCAGAUCAGCAACGCUGCGGUGAAUACGUUCCCGGGGCU
This 1346-nucleotide ribosomal RNA is filed under the name uncultured bacterium. RNAcentral's name for it is "partial 16S ribosomal RNA". It matches the Rfam family "Bacterial small subunit ribosomal RNA", at positions 28 to 1381 of the family's 1533-position model. The record is from RNAcentral.